RNAcentral lists this ribosomal RNA (253 nucleotides) under uncultured bacterium. RNAcentral's name for it is "partial 16S ribosomal RNA". It matches the Rfam family "Bacterial small subunit ribosomal RNA", at positions 524 to 776 of the family's 1533-position model. The record is from RNAcentral.
UACGUAGGGGGCAAGCGUUGUCCGGAUUCAUUGGGCGUAAAGAGCGUGUAGGCGGCCAGGUAGGUCGGUUGUGAAAACUCGAGGCUUAACCUCGAGACGUCGGUUGAAACCAUCUGGCUAGAGUCCGGAAGAGGAGAGUGGAAUUCCUGGUGUAGCGGUGAAAUGCGCAGAUAUCAGGAAGAACACCCGUGGCGAAGGCGGCUCUCUGGGACGGUACUGACGCUGAGACGCGAAAGCGUGGGGAGCGAACAGG